AUGAACGCUAGCGGCAGGCUUAAUACAUGCAAGGCGAAGGGGCAGCAAUGUCACUGUCGUACGGGUGCGUAACGCGUAUGCAACCUACCUAUCACUGGGGGAUAGCCCGGGGAAACCCGGAUUAAUACCGCAUAACACAGGGGUCCCGCAUGGGUACUAUUUGUUAAAGAUUUAUCGGUGGUAGAUGGGCAUGCGUUCGAUUAGCUAGUUGGCGGGGUAACGGCCCACCAAGGCGACGAUCGAUAGGGGAGCUGAGAGGUUGAUCCCCCACACGGGCACUGAGAUACGGGCCCGACUCCUACGGGAGGCAGCAGUAGGGAAUAUUGGGCAAUGGAUGCAAGUCUGACCCAGCCAUGCCGCGUGCCGGAUGAAGGCCCUCAGGGUUGUAAACGGCUUUUAUUCGGGAAGAAGAAUAGGGAUGCGUCCUUAUGUGACGGUACCGAAUGAAUAAGCACCGGCUAACUCCGU
RNAcentral lists this ribosomal RNA (468 nucleotides) under uncultured bacterium. Its description in RNAcentral is "bacterial SSU rRNA". It matches the Rfam family "Bacterial small subunit ribosomal RNA", at positions 29 to 506 of the family's 1533-position model. The record is from RNAcentral.